UUCACAAUGUAAGUCAUUCUAGCAUUUCCCACAUUCAUAUUGAUGCUAAUUAGCAUCAAUAUGAAUGUGGGAAAUGCUAGAAUGACUUACAUUGUGAAAC
Molecule: unclassified non-coding RNA, 100 nt
Filed under: Oryza sativa (Asian cultivated rice)
Lineage: Eukaryota; Viridiplantae; Streptophyta; Magnoliopsida; Poales; Poaceae
Description: partial microRNA MIR472a-21 precursor
Source: RNAcentral